CCUACGGGUGGCAGCAGUGGGGAAUAUUGGACAAUGGGCGAAAGCCUGAUCCAGCCAUGCCGCGUGUGUGAAGAAGGCCUUCGGGUUGUAAAGCACUUUCAGUGGGGAAGAAAGCCUUGGGGCUAAUACCCUCGAGGAAGGACAUCACCCACAGAAGAAGCACCGGCUAACUCCGUGCCAGCAGCCGCGGUAAUAUGGAGGGUGCGAGCGUUAAUCGGAAUUACUGGGCGUAAAGCGCGCGUAGGCGGUCUGAUAAGCCGGUUGUGAAAGCCCCGGGCUCAACCUGGGAACGGCAUCCGGAACUGUCAGGCUAGAGUGCAGGAGAGGAAGGUAGAAUUCCCGGUGUAGCGGUGAAAUGCGUAGAGAUCGGGAGGAAUACCAGUGGCGAAGGCGGCCUUCUGGACUGACACUGACGCUGAGGUGCGAAAGCGUGGGUAGCAAACAGGAUUAGAUACCCGGGUAGUC
This 465-nucleotide ribosomal RNA is filed under the name Vreelandella stevensii. RNAcentral's name for it is "partial 16S ribosomal RNA". It matches the Rfam family "Bacterial small subunit ribosomal RNA", at positions 338 to 795 of the family's 1533-position model. The record is from RNAcentral. Lineage: Bacteria; Pseudomonadati; Pseudomonadota; Gammaproteobacteria; Oceanospirillales; Halomonadaceae.